Molecule: non-coding RNA, 1251 nt
Organism: Castor canadensis (American beaver)
Lineage: Eukaryota; Metazoa; Chordata; Mammalia; Rodentia; Castoridae
Source: RefSeq, a predicted model, not a curated record
GUAUCAGAUUUGCUUGAGUAUGCCCAGUGCAUGUCCUGCUAUCAUGGUGGAUGUAUGUAUGUACACCUUUGCCCUGCGAGAGAGGAUUUGAAUUCAAGUGAUCGCUUCCUGCAUGGCCUGUGGUACAUUAGGCCUUAGUUGUUCAUUGGCAUAAAGGUGGUUGUAUUUCUUCCCUCCAAAAACAUUGGUGGAUACGAUGUCACUUUAGGUGUUUUUCUGCGUUUGAUCUUUUUGGACGUGCAGACAGUGGCCCCUAAGUAGGUUAACGCCAGGAUUUCUGCUGUUGCGGGAAGCAUUCCAAGUACAUUGCAUAUAGGCUAGGUUCCUCUGUGUGUGUGUUUGAGUUUGUGUGUGUGUGCAUGUGUAAUAUGUGUAGUGUCCUUUGGAAAUAAUUUCUUUUCAUCUUGUAAUACCUUCACAGAGAACCAAGUAUUUCACACUCAUCGAGUAUAUAUUCGCUGUUUAGGCAUGCAGAAGACUCCUUGAAUCAAAAUCUGUCAACAACAAAGUGGGGAUCGAUGGAAUGCUCCGGGCUCUCUGGUGUUCAAUGACUUCUGGUCUCGCUCAACCUUGCUCUUCAGUAGAUGCAAGGCAUGCAGAAGACUCCUUGAAUCAAAAUCUGUCAACAACAAAGUGGGGAUCGAUGGAAUGCUCCGGGCUCUCUGGUGUUCAAUGACUUCUGGUCUCGCUCAACCUUGCUCUUCAGUAGAUGCAAGGCAUGCAGAAGACUCCUUGAAUCAAAAUCUGUCAACAACAAAGUGGGGAUCGAUGGAAUGCUCCGGGCUCUCUGGUGUUCAAUGACUUCUGGUCUCGCUCAACCUUGCUCUUCAGUAGAUGCAAGGCAUGCAGAAGACUCCUUGAAUCAAAAUCUGUCAACAACAAAGUGGGGAUCGAUGGAAUGCUCCGGGCUCUCUGGUGUUCAAUGACUUCUGGUCUCGCUCAACCUUGCUCUUCAGUAGAUGCAAGGCAUGCAGAAGACUCCUUGAAUCAAAAUCUGUCAACAACAAAGUGGGGAUCGAUGGAAUGCUCCGGGCUCUCUGGUGUUCAAUGACUUCUGGUCUCGCUCAACCUUGCUCUUCAGUAGAUGCAAGGCAUGCAGAAGACUCCUUGAAUCAAAAUCUGUCAACAACAAAGUGGGGAUCGAUGGAAUGCUCCGGGCUCUCUGGUGUUCAAUGACUUCUGGUCUCGCUCAACCUUGCUCUUCAGUAGAUGCAAGGUCAGAAAUUCAUCUACAAGGUGACGAUUAGAAUA